RNAcentral lists this transfer RNA (77 nucleotides) under Rhodovulum sp. RNAcentral describes it as "tRNA-Pro". It matches the Rfam family "tRNA". From Rfam's summary of the family: Transfer RNA (tRNA) molecules are approximately 80 nucleotides in length. Their secondary structure includes four short double-helical elements and three loops (D, anti-codon, and T loops). RNAcentral also lists the same sequence under 1 other name. Lineage: Bacteria; Pseudomonadati; Pseudomonadota; Alphaproteobacteria; Rhodobacterales; Paracoccaceae. The record is from RNAcentral.
CGGGGCGUAGCGCAGCCUGGUAGCGCGUCGGUUUUGGGUACCGAAGGCCGUGGGUUCGAAUCCCGCCGCCCCGACCA